UUGUCCAGAGUUGAGAGACCUUAUCCUAAUCUAGUAUUGCUCCACGAGAAUCACUUUGGCGACGUGAUGGCGAAUGGAUUGACAAAGCACUAGCAUGUAGACAAAAAGUAUGUCCUGUUCUGGGUUUGCGUUGGUUGCGUGGUAGCUCAAAUUGGGUAUAUGGUAUCGACCACAGUAAGAUUUGGGUACUGUAAAAAACAACCCUUUUUCUUUUAUCAUUUCUGUAACUGGUUGGGGGCAUUCUUAAAUGGAAAUUUGUCAUUUAGGGUGUUGCGGAUCUGUAUUCUUUGGUCACAUGAAAUUCUGAUCCUCAUCUUGUUUUAGAGUUCUAGUUUGUUGAACUACACUGGGUGGAAAGUGUAAGUUCCUUGAAGGUUUUAGGAUUUAGAGAGGUGGCUUUCCAUACGGUUUGAAUCGCUUCUGAGCUUUUCUUUGGUUACCAAACAAUUGGAGAAGGGGUUGGAUUUAUGAGCCACGUAAGAUGGGAAGCUUAGCCUGAUGAUUUUGGACUUCUGAUUGCCUGGGUUCUGGUAAAAAUCACAAUCCCACCUUUUGGGUUUCCUGGAAGUACACUUUUAGAGGAUACAUGACACAGGAGAACUUUGUGGAUGUUCUUUCCUUUUAUCUCAACUUCUCAGUUAAAAGGAAAGAUCAUUAAGAUUUAUGAUAGUUAUUGAAAGUUGAAACUGCUGCCUGACGAUCUCAGUUCUUCCAAUAUGGACAACAAUAAGACGAUUGUUUGGUUUAGAAGGGACCUCAGGGUUGAUGACAAUCCUGCCUUAGCUGCUGCUGCCAGCAGUGGUAGUGUCUUUCCGGUUUAUAUAUGGUGUCCUAAGGAAGAGGGACAGUUUUACCCAGGUCGAGUAUCAAGGUGGUGGCUGAAGCAAUCUCUUGCCAACUUGGGAAAGUCCCUGAAAACUCUUGGGGCUGAACUUGUGCUGAUCAAGACCAAUAGUACUCUUGCAGCUCUUUUAGAGUGCAUCAACGCCACGGGGGCAACUAAAGUUGUAUAUAAUCAUCUCUAUGAUCCGGUAUCUCUUGUUCGAGAUCACAAUGUCAAAGAAAAGCUAGUGGAGCUUGGCAUUUCUGUUCAAAGCUAUAACGGAGAUUUGUUGUAUGAACCAUGGGAUAUAUAUGAUGAAAGAGGCAAUGCUUUGGUGACUUUCGAUGCAUAUUGGGAAAAAUGCUUGUACAUGCAAAAGGAACCUGUUUCACAUCUUCCUCCACGACGAUUGGUGCCUGCUGCAGGUAAAGUUGAGAAAUAUUCAGUUGAAGAAUUAGGUCUUGAAGACGAGUUAGAAAAGUCUAGCAAUGCCUUACUAGGAAGAGCGUGGUCUCCUGGUUGGAGCAAAGCUGAGAAGGUUUUUGCUGAAUUUGUUGAACGGCAUCUACUUGAAUACUCGAAGAAUAGGCAAAAGGUUGGUGGAAACUCCACGUCACUUUUGUCCCCAUAUCUUCAUUUCGGAGAACUAAGUGUGAGGAAAGUCUUUCAAUGCGCCCGAAUGAAGCAAAUCUUAUGGGCAGAAGCAAAAAACUCAGAAGGGGAAGAAAGUGUGACUCUAUUUCUUAGGGCCAUUGGUUUUAGAGAAUACUCCCGUUAUCUUUGUUUUAACUUUCCAUUCACCCAUGAGAGAUCAUUGCUGAGCAACUUAAAAUAUUUCCCAUGGAAUGCAAACCAGGCCAAUUUUAAGGCUUGGAGACAGGGGCAGACUGGUUACCCAUUGGUUGAUGCAGGAAUGAGGGAGCUUUGGGCAACUGGUUGGAUACACAACAGGAUAAGAGUGAUUGUCUCAAGUUUUGCAGUGAAGUUUUUGCUUCUUCCCUGGAGAUGGGGCAUGAAGUAUUUCUGGGACACACUUUUAGAUGCAGACUUGGAGAGUGACAUCCUUGGUUGGCAGUAUAUCUCAGGAAGCUUACCAGAUGGCCAUGAACUUGAACGCUUGGACUGCCCACAGAUUCAGGGUUCCAAAUUUGAUCCAGAGGGUGAGUAUGUAAGGCAAUGGUUGCCUGAGCUAGCACGGAUGCCAACUGAGUGGAUCCAUCAUCCUUGGGAUGCACCCCCCACUGUGCUUAAAGCUGCUGGGGUGGAGUUGGGACUAAACUAUCGAAAUCCUAUAAUUGAUGAGGAUUUGGCGAGGCAGCGACUGACUGAAGCUAUAUUCAAGAUGUGGGAAAUGGAAGCUGCUGCAAUGGCUGGGAAAAAUGAAAUCGUUGUUGAUAAUUCUGAAAAUACUGAUAAUUUGCCCAUUCCAAAGAUCAUCUUGAGGGAUAUAACUCCAUGUCCUACCUAUUCGUCAAAUGACCAGAGGGUGCCAACCAUCAACAAUUCCAAGAAUGGCCCACUCAGCAAGAAGAGACCUAAACAUAACGAAGAUGAAAGGCAGCAACUGAAUAAUUUGCAGGAUCGCACUAGUGAAGCUGGUAGCACGAGGAGGGAAGAACAAUUGUGCUCAACAGCCGAAUCUUCAGCAGCUAAGAAGCAAAACACCAGCAGAUGCUCAUUUUCUGUUCCCCACUCUUUUUCCCCAAUGGCGGGUGAAUCGUUGCAGGAGUACGAGUCAUUUGAAUUGAAUCAGCCACAGAAGGAUCAGAUUGAUAUGGAACGCAGUUGAAGCACAGAUGCCAGUUCUGGAACAUGGCUUGGAAUAGAGAUUUUGCGAAGGUUUGGUGUCAAGGAUAAGCAGCAGAAAUAUUAGAACCAAACUAAGAGAGAAUAGUAGCAGCUAGCAGGGCAUCAUGUAAAUAUGGCCGGAGGAAAUAAAAGCAAAAGCAAUACUAAGCUGGACAGGGAGGAUAUCUACUCUUGCAGGUGUUACGUGAGAGCAGCAGCCAUAUUAGCCAAAUAUCCAGUGGCGACUGUCUGUGAGAUCAUUUGCUGAAAGAUAAUCCUUCAAUGCUAGCUUGGAUGCUGCUAUUUGACAGCACUUCCUUCCAACAUCACGCGAUAGCUUUUGAUGUGUUUGUGUUGUGAAUGUACAUUUGCUUGCGGCUGAUCAUUCUGUAUAAUCUGUUAUGUAGGUAUACUUACGAGCCAUAUGUAUCUAUGUCCACUUUUUAACACAGGAUCUCAAAUUUUAUA
Molecule: RNA transcript, 3079 nt
Organism: Tripterygium wilfordii
Lineage: Eukaryota; Viridiplantae; Streptophyta; Magnoliopsida; Celastrales; Celastraceae
Gene name: cryptochrome-1
Exons: 7
Source: RefSeq, a predicted model, not a curated record